This is a long non-coding RNA of Cydia splendana, 402 nucleotides long. RefSeq lists it as uncharacterized. The transcript is spliced from 3 exons. The record is from RefSeq and is a predicted model, not a curated record. Lineage: Eukaryota; Metazoa; Arthropoda; Insecta; Lepidoptera; Tortricidae.
CUCGUAGACCUGGUACUCUAAAUGCACACAAGUUGCCUCGUAGCCCUGUAAAUAAAUACAGGACACGCCGCCGCAAAAAGGGAAUGAUUAAAAUAGAAAAACCAAGGACGUGCAAGUUUAUUCUGUUCAUCCUUAACCUUUUUGGGGUGAAAACACGUCGCGAAGACUACUGGCAGUGAGGCUGGGCCGGCUACAUAGACGGUGCCAUGGAGAACUCACUGGAAUACUCCGGGAGAUCCUCAGGAGUACAUAUAAUAUAGUACAUAUUUUAAAUCGUGUGUAAAAAUAUGGAUAUGGAUACAUCUGUACGGCCACCACCAGUACAGAUACGUCCCAGUCACUGACAGUGUCAACCCUGACAUAAUACGCUAACGUCUACGUUAUUUACUUUCUAUAGGUACA